AUAAAGCUGUCUUAACUUCAUACAUAUACAGAGGUAAGGAGAAGAACUGCAUAAUCUUACAGCAAAUGCUAAGAUAGGCAGCCAUAUCUUUUUUACAUUGUCUAAGCCUUUAUGCUAUGCUUUUGAAGAACUGAGUAUUAUAACAAUAAGAAACAUAAUUUCAGAAUGUGACAAAUAACAGUCCAAGAUCUCAACUUGAACAAUGAUAGAAUGAAGGAUAAGCAGUUGAUAUACAGGAACUUGAACUACAGACA
This is a long non-coding RNA of Amphimedon queenslandica, 254 nucleotides long. RefSeq lists it as uncharacterized. The record is from RefSeq and is a predicted model, not a curated record. The transcript has 2 exons. NCBI's taxonomy places the organism in Eukaryota, Metazoa, Porifera, Demospongiae, Haplosclerida, Niphatidae.